This 254-nucleotide ribosomal RNA is filed under the name uncultured bacterium. Its description in RNAcentral is "partial 16S ribosomal RNA". It matches the Rfam family "Bacterial small subunit ribosomal RNA", at positions 524 to 775 of the family's 1533-position model. The record is from RNAcentral.
UACGUAGGGUGCAGGCGUAAUCGGAAUUACUGGGCGUAAAGCGUGCGCAGGCGGUUUGCUAAGACAGGUGUGAAAUCCCCGGGCUUAACCUGGGGAACUGCGCUUGUAACUGGCAAGCUAGAGGUGUGGCAGGAGGGGGUGGAAUUCCAGGUGUAGGCAGUGAAAUGCGUAGAGAUCUGGAGGAACACCGAUGGCGAAGGCGGUUCUCUGGGCCUUACCUGACGCUGAGGAGCGAAAGCGUGGGGAGCGAACGG